GAGAAGCAAAGCCGCGAGGUAGAGCAAAUCUCGAAAAAACAUCUCAGUUCAGACUGCAGGCUGCAACUCGCCUGCACGAAGUCGGAAUUGCUAGUAAUCGUAGGUCAGCAUACUACGGUGAAUACGUUCCCGGGCCUUGUACACACCGCCCGUCAAACCAUGAGAGUUGGCAACACCCGAAGUCGGUAGUCUAACCGCAAGGAGGACGCCGCCGAAGGUGGGGUCGAUGAUUAGGGUUAAGUCGUAACAAGGUAGC
This 256-nucleotide ribosomal RNA is filed under the name uncultured bacterium. RNAcentral's name for it is "partial 16S ribosomal RNA". It matches the Rfam family "Bacterial small subunit ribosomal RNA", at positions 1244 to 1500 of the family's 1533-position model. The record is from RNAcentral.